GCAAAUCCCCAAAAACUUAGUCUCNGUUCAGAUUGCAGGCUGAAACUACGCCUGCAUGAAGUCGGAAUUGCUAGUAAUCGCAGAUCAGCAUGCUGCGGUGAAUACGUUCCCGGGCCUUGUACACACCGCCCGUCACACCAUGGGAGUCGGUAACACCCGAAGCCUGUAGUCUAACCGCAAGGAGGACGCAGUCGAAGGUGGGAUUGAUGACUGGGGUGAAGUCGUAACAAGGUAUC
RNAcentral lists this ribosomal RNA (236 nucleotides) under uncultured bacterium. RNAcentral's name for it is "partial 16S ribosomal RNA". It matches the Rfam family "Bacterial small subunit ribosomal RNA", at positions 1267 to 1500 of the family's 1533-position model. The record is from RNAcentral.